CAGUAGCCACGGGAAUACGUAGGGUGCAUGCGUUAAUCGGAAUUACUGGGCGUAAAGCGUGCGCAGGCGGUUAUAUAAGCCAGAUGUGAAAUCCCCGGGCUCAACCUGGGAACUGCAUUUGAGACUGUAUGGCUAGAGUGUGUCAGAGGGGGGUAGAAUUCCACGUGUAGCAGUGAAAUGCGUAGAUAUGUGGAGGAACGCCGAUGGCGAAGGCAGCCCCCUGGGAUAACACUGACGCUCAUGCACGAAAGCGUGGGGAGCAAACAGGAUUAGAUACCCCAGUAGUCCCUGUCUCUUAUAC
RNAcentral lists this ribosomal RNA (301 nucleotides) under uncultured bacterium. RNAcentral describes it as "partial 16S ribosomal RNA". It matches the Rfam family "Bacterial small subunit ribosomal RNA", at positions 509 to 807 of the family's 1533-position model. The record is from RNAcentral.